AUGGUGAGGCUAAUGGAGAUCUCCAAGAAAUGGCACGGCAGUGCUAGCAGCAAGGUCACCUCCCCUACCGCCGCCGCUGGUGCAGCGGCCACGGUGGCGUCGUGCCCGCGGGGCCAUUUCGCGGCCUACACCCGGGACGGCAGCCGGUUCUUCGUUCCCAUCGGCUGCCUCACCAGCGACACCUUCCGGGAGCUCCUCAACAUGGCCGAGGAGGAGUUUGGCAAACCUGGCGACCGCCCCAUCGUGCUGCCGUGCUCCGUGGCCUGCCUUGAGCAGAUCCUCGCCGACUUCCGGGCCACCUCCAAGAAGCACAACGGUGGCGGCAGGGCCAAGAUUUGGUAG
RNAcentral lists this ribosomal RNA (342 nucleotides) under Triticum aestivum (bread wheat). Its description in RNAcentral is "partial small subunit ribosomal RNA". Lineage: Eukaryota; Viridiplantae; Streptophyta; Magnoliopsida; Poales; Poaceae. The record is from RNAcentral.